CUUAGGGCUCACACACUUUUAAAUGUUCAAGUUUUCAAUUUAGAUUUUUAUUGUGUUUGAUAAACAGUAUUACACUAUAUACAUCAUCCAUUCCUUGCUUGAGGUUACUUGGGUUUAAACACACUUAAGCACCCUCUCCUCAUACUCAUCUAUUCAGUUAGAUACGGGAUGAACAUUUAAAGGGGCACUAGAGUCACCAGAACAACUACAGCUUAAUGUUGUUGGUUUGUUAAAUAUAAU
Pelobates cultripes (western spadefoot toad) is the source of this 240-nucleotide non-coding RNA. The record is from the annotation of a GenBank genome assembly. Lineage: Eukaryota; Metazoa; Chordata; Amphibia; Anura; Pelobatidae.